GCCUAACCCAGUAUAAAAGGGGCUGCUUGCCAGAGUUCAGAUCCUAAAAGAAACUGGCUCAACCAGACUCUUCAUGUGGUGUUUAGUGAGAUCUACCUCAACCAAUAGUAUUGAUCGUAUGAUUGGCACUCAUGCAAAUAGAGGAAUCCAAAGCCAUCAUCCUAGUCUGAGAUACUGCAAGUUCUUCACUAACCAUGGAUUGAACUCAGGGCCUUACUGCAUGCUGGGCAAGUGUUCUACCAGGGAUCUAUACAGACAGCCUGAACAGCAAGUCGUUUCCAUUGCUUUCAAAUUCAAGGUGGCCGAGUGGGUAAAGCCUGAUACUGGAACCCACAUGAGACCAGAUACAACAGUGCACAUCUGGAAUCCCAGCCCACCUAGAGGACAGGAGGCAAAAAGAGGAAAUCUUUGCAGGCUGCAGCAACAGCCAGAGGCUGUCUCACAAGAAAAAGUUGAGGACAGAUACCCAGACUGUCCUCUGAACCACCCAUGCCAAAAUGGCAGGCACAGCUUUGCACCAACAUGAGAAAGCUGCCAACUCAUUUUUUAUAAAUUAAAGUUGCUCUUAGAA
Molecule: long non-coding RNA, 571 nt
Organism: Mus musculus (house mouse)
Lineage: Eukaryota; Metazoa; Chordata; Mammalia; Rodentia; Muridae
Product: predicted gene, 52607
Exons: 3
Source: RefSeq, a predicted model, not a curated record